UUAAGUUCAGCGGGUAUUCCUACCUGAUCCGAGGUCAACCUUGUAAAAUUGGGGGUUUUACGGCAAGCGUACGCCUACACCCGGAACGAGAAGUAACUACUGCGUUCGGUUGUGGGACGCACCCGCCGCUGUCUUUAGAGGCCUGCAGCGCAGGGCCCCAACGCCAGGCAGGGCCUGAGGGUUGUAAUGACGCUCGAACA
RNAcentral lists this unclassified non-coding RNA (200 nucleotides) under Dictyochaeta sp. Its description in RNAcentral is "partial internal transcribed spacer 2". The record is from RNAcentral. Lineage: Eukaryota; Fungi; Ascomycota; Sordariomycetes; Chaetosphaeriales; Chaetosphaeriaceae.